ACGGCGUCUAAUACUGGAUAUGUGACGUGACCGCAUGGUCUGCGUUUGGAAAGAUUUUUCGGUUGGGGAUGGGCUCGCGGCCUAUCAGCUUGUUGGUGAGGUAAUGGCUCACCAAGGCGUCGACGGGUAGCCGGCCUGAGAGGGUGACCGGCCACACUGGGACUGAGACACGGCCCAGACUCCUACGGGAGGCAGCAGUGGGGAAUAUUGCACAAUGGGCGAAAGCCUGAUGCAGCAACGCCGCGUGAGGGAUGACGGCCUUCGGGUUGUAAACCUCUUUUAGCAGGGAAGAAGCGAAAGUGACGGUACCUGCAGAAAAAGCGCCGGCUAACUACGUGCCAGCAGCCGCGGUAAUACGUAGGGCGCAAGCGUUAUCCGGAAUUAUUGGGCGUAAAGAGCUCGUAGGCGGUUUGUCGCGUCUGCUGUGAAAUCCCGAGGCUCAACCUCGGGCCUGCAGUGGGUACGGGCAGACUAGAGUGCGGUAGGGGAGAUUGGAAUUCCUGGUGUAGCGGUGGAAUGCGCAGAUAUCAGGAGGAACACCGAUGGCGAAGGCAGAUCUYUGGGCCGUAACUGACGCUGAGGAGCGAAAGGGUGGGGAGCAAACAGGCUUAGAUACCCUGGUAGUCCACCCCGUAAACGUUGGGAACUAGUUGUGGGGUCCAUUCCACGGAUUCCGUGACGCAGCUAACGCAUUAAGUWCCCCGCCUGGGGAGUACGGCCGCAAGGCUAAAACUCAAAGGAAUUGACGGGGACCCGCACAAGCGGCGGAGCAUGCGGAUUAAUUCGAUGCAACGCGAAGAACCUUACCAAGGCUUGACAUAUACGAGAACGGGCCAGAAAUGGUCAACUCUUUGGACACUCGUAAACAGGUGGUGCAUGGUUGUCGUCAGCUCGUGUCGUGAGAUGUUGGGUUAAGUCCCGCAACGAGCGCAACCCUCGUUCUAUGUUGCCAGCACGUAAUGGUGGGAACUCAUGGGAUACUGCCGGGGUCAACUCGGAGGAAGGUGGGGAUGACGUCAAAUCAUCAUGCCCCUUAUGUCUUGGGCUUCACGCAUGCUACAAUGGCCGGUACAAAGGGCUGCAAUACCGUGAGGUGGAGCGAAUCCCAAAAAAGCCGGUCCCAGUUUCGGAUUGAGGUCUGCAACUCCACCUCAUGAAGUCGGAGUCGCUG
RNAcentral lists this ribosomal RNA (1171 nucleotides) under Microbacterium sp. MHF ENV IX. RNAcentral's name for it is "bacterial SSU rRNA". It matches the Rfam family "Bacterial small subunit ribosomal RNA", at positions 156 to 1337 of the family's 1533-position model. The record is from RNAcentral. Lineage: Bacteria; Bacillati; Actinomycetota; Actinomycetes; Micrococcales; Microbacteriaceae.